Molecule: small nucleolar RNA, 134 nt
Filed under: Physeter macrocephalus (sperm whale)
Lineage: Eukaryota; Metazoa; Chordata; Mammalia; Artiodactyla; Physeteridae
Description: Physeter catodon (sperm whale) Small nucleolar RNA SNORA70 (ENSPCTG00005005681.1)
Rfam family: Small nucleolar RNA SNORA70
About the family: snoRNA U70 seems to be exclusive to mammals and is a member of the H/ACA class of snoRNA which contain H (ANANNA) and ACA box motifs. H/ACA box snoRNAs are involved in the conversion of uridines to pseudouridines (5-ribosyluracil) a constituent of structural RNAs (transfer, ribosomal, small nuclear, and small nucleolar).
Source: Rfam by way of RNAcentral
CUUUCUUUUUUUAAAAAAACUGAGGUAUAUCCCCAUGGGGGCCCGGUGCACAAUGGCUGCAAACAGCAGCCUCCUCAGUAGUGUAUGCAGCCUGUUGCCUGUAUGGGUUGCCCUAAGGGACCUUGGAGACAGCC